UUCCUUGGCGUAGAGAUCCUUGAAGGCUUCGUAUUCCGGCAGGGUGACGUGGCAAAUCUUUGUGGCGAAACUCUUCUCGGAAGUGUCUGUAAUCUGAUAGAGUUUGGGGUUCGUAGUCGGCUCAUUUGGAUCGGCUUUCGGAGGUCGUGGCUUAAAGAGGCCCAAACGAAGCAGGAACUGGUGGCGACAACGCAGCUCCUCGAAUGACAAGAUACCUCGGAUUGUGCUAUCAAAUCCGGACUGUUCAUCAAACACUUCCACACAUUUUUGCUGGUGGAGACGCGACUUUGAAGGAAGCCGAUGUGGGAAAGUAACUGGUGGGAGUCGCUAACGUCCAGUAACUCGGGGUACUUCGUAAGGAGCAGGUGCAGUAGAUUCUCGCCGAAUUGACAGGCCCUCCAGAUUUCCAGGCAGCUUAUUAUUUUGUCCGGCGUUCUUUUCAAAAUCGCGGGGUUACCGGUAACUAUUCUAAGGAAAUUCACGGUUUCCAAGCCGUGGUUUUGAAAAGUUUGAUGGGCCCUUCGCCAGAUUUCAGGUGAGAAUACAGCU
Molecule: non-coding RNA, 549 nt
Organism: Drosophila melanogaster (fruit fly)
Lineage: Eukaryota; Metazoa; Arthropoda; Insecta; Diptera; Drosophilidae
Source: Ensembl